UACGAAGGGGGCUAGCGUUGUUCGGAAUUACUGGGCGUAGAGCGCACGUAGGCGGAUAUUUAAGUCAGGGGUGAAAUCCCGGGGCUCAACCCCGGAACUGCCUUUGAUACUGGGUAUCUCGAGUCCGAGAGAGGUGAGUGGAAUUCCGAGUGUAGAGGUGAAAUUCGUAGAUAUUCGGAGGAACACCAGUGGCGAAGGCGGCUCACUGGCUCGGUACUGACGCUGAGGUGCGAAAGCGUGGGGAGCAAACAGG
Molecule: ribosomal RNA, 253 nt
Filed under: uncultured bacterium
Lineage: Bacteria
Description: partial 16S ribosomal RNA
Rfam family: Bacterial small subunit ribosomal RNA
Source: RNAcentral